Molecule: ribosomal RNA, 490 nt
Filed under: uncultured bacterium
Lineage: Bacteria
Description: partial 16S ribosomal RNA
Rfam family: Bacterial small subunit ribosomal RNA
Source: RNAcentral
AUUGAACGCUGGCGGCAGGCCUAACACAUGCAAGUCGAACGGUAACAGGAAGCAGCUUGCUGCUUUGCUGACGAGUGGCGGACGGGUGAGUAAUGUCUGGGAAACUGCCUGAUGGAGGGGGAUAACUACUGGAAACGGUAGCUAAUACCGCAUAACGUCGCAAGACCAAAGAGGGGGACCUUCGGGCCUCUUGCCAUCGGAUGUGCCCAGAUGGGAUUAGCUAGUAGGUGGGGUAACGGCUCACCUAGGCGACGAUCCCUAGCUGGUCUGAGAGGAUGACCAGCCACACUGGAACUGAGACACGGUCCAGACUCCUACGGGAGGCAGCAGUAGGGAAUAUUGCACAAUGGGCGCAAGCCUGAUGCAGCCAUGCCGCGUGUAUGAAGAAGGCCUUCGGGUUGUAAAGUACUUUCAGCGGGGAGGAAGGGAGUAAAGUUAAUACCUUUGCUCAUUGACGUUACCCGCAGAGGAAGCACCGGCUAACUCCGUG